UGGUUUUGUGAUUACUAUGGAGUUGUUGCUGGCCUCUAGGGGCAUGUGCACGCUUCACUAGUCUUUCAACCACCUGUGAACUUUUGAUAGAUCUGUGAAGUCGUCCUUCAAGUCGUCAGACUUGGUUUGCUGGGAUUUAAACGUCUCGGUGUGACAACGCAGUCUAUUUACUUAACACACCCCAAAUGUAUGUCUACGAAUGUCAUUUAAUGGGCCUUGUGCCUAUAAACCAUAAUACAACUUUCAACAACGGAUCUCUUGGCUCUCGCAUCGAUGAAGAACGCAGCGAAAUGCGAUAAGUAAUGUGAAUUGCAGAAUUCAGUGAAUCAUCGAAUCUUUGAACGCACCUUGCGCCCCUUGGUAUUCCGAGGGGCAUGCCUGUUUGAGUGUCAUUAAAUUCUCAAACUCACAUUUAUUUGUGAUGUUUGGAUUGUUGGGGGUUGCUGGCUGUAACAAGUCGGCUCCUCUUAAAUGCAUUAGCAGGACUUCUCAUUGCCUCUGCGCAUGAUGUGAUAAUUAUCACUCAUCAAUAGCACGCAUGAAUAGAGUCCAGCUCUCUAAUCGUCCGCAAGGACAAUUUGACAAUUUGACCUCAAAUCAGGUAGGACUACCCGCUGAACUUAAGCAUAUCAAUAAGCGGAGGAA
This 645-nucleotide ribosomal RNA is filed under the name Pleurotus pulmonarius. RNAcentral describes it as "eukaryotic LSU rRNA". The stretch from base 239 to 392 matches the Rfam family "5.8S ribosomal RNA". The record is from RNAcentral. Lineage: Eukaryota; Fungi; Basidiomycota; Agaricomycetes; Agaricales; Pleurotaceae.